This 339-nucleotide ribosomal RNA is filed under the name uncultured bacterium. RNAcentral describes it as "bacterial SSU rRNA". It matches the Rfam family "Bacterial small subunit ribosomal RNA", at positions 29 to 361 of the family's 1533-position model. The record is from RNAcentral.
AACGAACGUUGGCGGCGUGCCUAACACAUGCAAGUCGAGCGCGGGCAGGACUUCGGUCCUGUUCCGAGCGGCGCACGGGUGAGUAACACGUGAGUAACCUGCCUCGAAGUUUGGGAUAACCGCCCGAAAGGGUGGCUAAUACCGGAUAAGCCCCCACUGGCACAGGCCGAGAGAGGGAAAAGGACCUUGGCGGCUUCGAGAUGGGCGUCGCGUCCCAUUAGCUAGUUGGUGAGGUAACGGCUCACCAAGGCGAAGAUGGGUAGGCUGGUCUGAGAGGAUGAUCAGCCACACUGGAACUGAGACACGGUCCAGACUCCUACGGGAGGCAGCAGUGGGGAA